RNAcentral lists this ribosomal RNA (1263 nucleotides) under metagenome. RNAcentral's name for it is "bacterial LSU rRNA". It matches the Rfam family "Bacterial large subunit ribosomal RNA", at positions 1673 to 2925 of the family's 2925-position model. The record is from RNAcentral.
UUAGUAUUCUAAGGCGCUUGAGAGAACUCUGGAGAAGGAACUCGGCAAAUUGACACCGUAACUUCGGAAGAAGGUGUGCCUUUAGUAGGUGAACCAUUUACUUGGGGAGCCCAAUGAGGCCGCAGAGAAUCGGUGGCUGCAACUGUUUAUUAAAAACACAGCACUCUGCAAAGACGAAAGUCGACGUAUAGGGUGUGACUCCUGCCCGGUGCUGGAAGAUUAAAUGAUGGGGUGCAAGCUCUUGACUGAAGUCCCAGUAAACGGCGGCCGUAACUAUAACGGUCCUAAGGUAGCGAAAUUCCUUGUCGGGUAAGUUCCGACCUGCACGAAUGGAGUAAUGAUGGCCACACUGUCUCCUCCAGAGACUCAGCGAAGUUGAAAUGUUUGUGAUGAUGCAAUCUCCCCGCGGAAAGACUGAAAGACCCCAUGAACCUUUACUGUAGCUUUACAUUGGACUUUGAACAGAUCUGUGUAGGAUAGGUGGGAGGCUUUGAAGAGUGGACGCUAGUUUGCUUGGAGCCAACGUUGAAAUACCACCCUGGUGUGUUUGAGGUUCUAACCUUGGUCCCUUAUCGGGAUUGGGGACAGUGUAUGGUGGGCAGUUUGACUGGGGCGGUCUCCUCCCAAAGUGUAACGGAGGAGUUCGAAGGUACGCUAAAUACGGUCGGAAAUCGUGUUGAUAGUGCAUUGGCAUAAGCGUGCUUGACUGCGAGACUGACAAGUCGAGCAGGUACGAAAGUAGGACAAAGUGAUCCGGUGGUUCUGUAUGGAAGGGCCAUCGCUCAACGGAUAAAAGGUACUCUGGGGAUAACAGGCUGAUACCGCCCAAGAGUUCAUAUCGACGGCGGUGUUUGGCACCUCGAUGUCGGCUCAUCUCAUCCUGGGGCUGUAGCCGGUCCCAAGGGUAUGGCUGUUCGCCAUUUAAAGAGGUACGUGAGCUGGGUUUAAAACGUCGUGAGACAGUUUGGUCCCUAUCUUCCGUGGGCGCUGCAAGAUUGAGAGAGCCUGCUCCUAGUACGAGAGGACCGGAGUGGACGCACCUCUGGUGUAUCGGUUGUCACGCCAGUGGCAUCGCCGAGUAGCUAAGUGCGGAAGAGAUAACCGCUGAAAGCAUCUAAGCGGGAAACUCGUCUCAAGAUGAGUCUUGCCGGGGCCUAGAGCCCCCUGAAGGGUCGUUCGAGACCAGGACGUUGAUAGGCUGGGCGUGGAAGCGCGGUAACGCGUUAAGCUAACCAGUACUAAUUGCCCGUGAGGCUUGACCCC